GACGAACGCUGGCGGCGUGCCUAAUACAUGCAAGUCGAGCGCAGGAAACUGACGGAACUCUUCGGAGGGAAGGCAGUGGAAUGAGCGGCGGACGGGUGAGUAACACGUAAGGAACCUGCCUCAAGGAUUGGGAUAACUCCGAGAAAUCGGAGCUAAUACCGGAUAGUUCAACGGACCGCAUGGUCCGCUGAUGAAAGGCGCUCCGGCGUCACCUUGAGAUGGCCUUGCGGUGCAUUAGCUAGUUGGUGGGGUAACGGCCCACCAAGGCGACGAUGCAUAGCCGACCUGAGAGGGUGAUCGGCCACACUGGGACUGAGACACGGCCCAGACUCCUACGGGAGGCAGCAGUAGGGAAUCUUCCACAAUGGACGAAAGUCUGAUGGAGCAACGCCGCGUGAGUGAUGAAGGUUUUCGGAUCGUAAAACUCUGUUGUAAGGGAAGAACACGUACGAGAGGGAAUGCUCGUACCUUGACGGUACCUUACGAGAAAGCCACGGCUAACUACGUGCCAGCCGCCGCAGUAA
Molecule: ribosomal RNA, 524 nt
Filed under: uncultured bacterium
Lineage: Bacteria
Description: partial 16S ribosomal RNA
Rfam family: Bacterial small subunit ribosomal RNA
Source: RNAcentral